GACGAACCGAGCGAACGUUGUUCGGAAUCACUGGGCUUAAAGGGCGCGUAGGCGGGUGCUCAAGUCCGGGGUGAAAUCCCACAGCUCAACUGUGGAAUUGCCUCGGAUACUGGGUGUCUCGAGGGUGGUAGGGGUAUGCGGAACUAUCGGUGGAGCGGUGAAAUGCGUUGAUAUCGAUAGGAACUCCGGUGGCGAAGGCGGCAUACUGGACCACUUCUGACGCUGAGGCGCGAAAGCCAGGGGAGCGAACGGG
RNAcentral lists this ribosomal RNA (253 nucleotides) under uncultured bacterium. RNAcentral's name for it is "partial 16S ribosomal RNA". It matches the Rfam family "Bacterial small subunit ribosomal RNA", at positions 524 to 776 of the family's 1533-position model. The record is from RNAcentral.